RNAcentral lists this long non-coding RNA (209 nucleotides) under Monodelphis domestica (gray short-tailed opossum). RNAcentral's name for it is "lncRNA (ENSMODG00000047930.1)". Lineage: Eukaryota; Metazoa; Chordata; Mammalia; Didelphimorphia; Didelphidae. The record is from RNAcentral.
GUCCUAGAAACUUCCCAGCUGCGUGACCCUGGGGCCCUUCCUGAGCCUGGCAGCCACCUUAUUGGAGGAGAGGGCGGCGCUGAGCUGUAUCCAACCUCUGAGGCACGUGGGCACAGCAGAAUGAAUGUGAGUAGAGGAAAAGGCCUUUCCUUCCUCCUCAGGGUGCAUGUCAGGGGUGGGCAGGAAGGAGUGGCUGAGGUGAGGGGGCA